RNAcentral lists this ribosomal RNA (626 nucleotides) under marine bacterium AK13_015. RNAcentral describes it as "bacterial SSU rRNA". It matches the Rfam family "Bacterial small subunit ribosomal RNA", at positions 67 to 695 of the family's 1533-position model. The record is from RNAcentral.
CGGGGAACGAUAACGGCGUCGAGCGGCGGACGGGUGAGUAAUGCCUGGGAAAUUGCCCUGAUGUGGGGGAUAACCAUUGGAAACGAUGGCUAAUACCGCAUAAUAGCUUCGGCUCAAAGAGGGGGACCUUCGGGCCUCUCGCGUCAGGAUAUGCCCAGGUGGGAUUAGCUAGUUGGUGAGGUAAGGGCUCACCAAGGCGACGAUCCCUAGCUGGUCUGAGAGGAUGAUCAGCCACACUGGAACUGAGACACGGUCCAGACUCCUACGGGAGGCAGCAGUGGGGAAUAUUGCACAAUGGGCGCAAGCCUGAUGCAGCCAUGCCGCGUGUAUGAAGAAGGCCUUCGGGUUGUAAAGUACUUUCAGCAGUGAGGAAGGUGGUGUGCUUAAUACGUGCAUCAUUUGACGUUAGCUGCAGAAGAAGCACCGGCUAACUCCGUGCCAGCAGCCGCGGUGAUACGGAGGGUGCGAGCGUUAAUCGGAAUUACUGGGCGUAAAGCGCAUGCAGGUGGUUUGUUAAGUCAGAUGUGAAAGCCCGGGGCUCAACCUCGGAAUUGCAUUUGAAACUGGCAGACUAGAGUACUGUAGAGGGGGGUAGAAUUUCACGUGUAGCGGUGAAAUGCGUAGAG